UCGAACGGUAACAGGCCGCAAGGUGCUGACGAGUGGCGAACGGGUGAGUAAUGCAUCGGAACGUGCCCAGUCGUGGGGGAUAACGCAGCGAAAGCUGUGCUAAUACCGCAUACGAUCUGUGGAUGAAAGCGGGGGACCGUAAGGCCUCGCGCGAUUGGAGCGGCCGAUGUCAGAUUAGGUAGUUGGUGGGGUAAAGGCUCACCAAGCCGACGAUCUGUAGCUGGUCUGAGAGGACGACCAGCCACACUGGGACUGAGACACGGCCCAGACUCCUACGGGAGGCAGCAGUGGGGAAUUUUGGACAAUGGGCGCAAGCCUGAUCCAGCAAUGCCGCGUGCAGGAAGAAGGCCUUCGGGUUGUAAACUGCUUUUGUACGGAGCGAAAAGGCUCUCUCUAAUACAGGGGGCUCAUGACGGUACCGUAAGAAUAAGCACCGGCUAACUACGUGCCAGCGGCCGCGGUAAUACGUAGGGUGCAAGCGUUAAUCGGAAUUACUGGGCGUAAAGCGUGCGCAGGCGGUUUUGUAAGACAGGCGUGAAAUCCCCGGGCUCAACCUGGGAAUGGCGCUUGUGACUGCAAGGCUGGAGUGCGGCA
RNAcentral lists this ribosomal RNA (594 nucleotides) under uncultured bacterium. RNAcentral's name for it is "bacterial SSU rRNA". It matches the Rfam family "Bacterial small subunit ribosomal RNA", at positions 62 to 653 of the family's 1533-position model. The record is from RNAcentral.